GCGAACGCUGGCGGCAUGCUUAACACAUGCAAGUCGCACGACCGGGUUUCGGCCUGGGAGUGGCGGACGGGUGGGUAUCGCGUAGGGAUUUGUCGUUGGGUGGGGGACAACCUUGGGAAACUGGGGCUAAUACCGCAUGGACGCCUUUGGGCCAAAGCUCGAGAGGGCGCCUGACGAGGAGCCUGCGUCCGAUUAGGUAGUUGGUUGGGUGAUGGCUGACCAAGCCUGCGAUCGGUAGCUGGUCUGAGAGGGUGGCCAGCCACACUGGGACUGAGACACGGGCCCAGACUCCUACGGGAGGCAG
RNAcentral lists this ribosomal RNA (304 nucleotides) under uncultured bacterium. Its description in RNAcentral is "bacterial SSU rRNA". It matches the Rfam family "Bacterial small subunit ribosomal RNA", at positions 30 to 351 of the family's 1533-position model. The record is from RNAcentral.